AUCAUCCUCCUCGUAGCAAACUAACCUUCAGUGUAACACCACCGUAUCCCGCCGAUGGCAGGAAAUCGCCACCGCUGCCAGCGUAACUCCAAAUCCAUCCAAAUUAACACCGCAUGCUCACCGUCUUCUCCUCUUUCCAACCCCCUAAAUAUCACCCAUCGAAUCCCGGCCAGACGUGUCGAAUAUUCCUCCAAAGGAGCGGCUGCUCCAUCGUCCACGGCGACGCCGGCUCCAAUGGCUCCCAAAAACACACCCCAUACUUCCCUUUGCCUCCUCUACCCA
This 282-nucleotide long non-coding RNA is filed under the name Nicotiana benthamiana. RNAcentral describes it as "long non-coding RNA (NBEN_LNC042355)". The record is from RNAcentral. Lineage: Eukaryota; Viridiplantae; Streptophyta; Magnoliopsida; Solanales; Solanaceae.